RNAcentral lists this long non-coding RNA (764 nucleotides) under Callithrix jacchus (white-tufted-ear marmoset). Its description in RNAcentral is "lncRNA (ENSCJAG00000075609.1)". The record is from RNAcentral. Lineage: Eukaryota; Metazoa; Chordata; Mammalia; Primates; Cebidae.
AUGGCAUAUAGGCCUCCAUUUCUCCCGCUGCCCCACUGUGCAAACACUGGUGGCGGGCAGGAGUGGGUGGUACCCGGAUCCAGGUGCUCUCCCUGGCAGUUCCAGGUGCGGGGCUCCGGGGAGCGGUCUAGCAGCUGUCAGAGGCCCCGCCCCCGCCGCCCACCUCCUCAGGAAUUGGCUGUCCCGGUCCCAGGGGGCUGUCCCAGGGUCGGAAAAAAGUCUGGGGUCGCAGGGGCGGGUUUUCAGUCACUCGUGGACAAAGCGUAUCGCGCUCGCGUUGCGGCCUCAGGCGGAGGUCACCGUCCCUUUCCCUUUCCUUCCACAACCGCACGCGCGCUCUUCCUCCGCUACUUGCCCUCCCCCCGACUCCCGGGUCCCGCCCCUUCGAGGAAGUGUAGGGCACGCCGGUCUCCGGGCACGCGGGCGUCUGUCCCAGCAGCCCCGGGCGGUGGGCGAGGGCGCGGACUGGGGACCCGGGAGGGGAAGGGGCCGGGGCGCGGGGGCUCCCGGAAGCAAAGGCGGCCGCCGCUCGGGGACCGACUCCGCAGGGAAUACUUCUCUGGAUAUAAAAGAUCUGGUUAAACAAUGUCAUCAAAUUAAAGAGAAGCUGUCAGAGGGAAUGAUACCAAAAAGGAAACAAGAAUGUUAAAAAGAGCAUUUGUACCAUCUAAAGUACCUACGGAUGGAAUAAUCUACAGACAAGGCCAAUGUAACCGGAACAGGAUAUUGUGACAAAACCAUCCAGUUUCCAUCAAUUUGUCAAG